RNAcentral lists this ribosomal RNA (284 nucleotides) under Acinetobacter sp. Its description in RNAcentral is "partial 16S ribosomal RNA". It matches the Rfam family "Bacterial small subunit ribosomal RNA", at positions 71 to 355 of the family's 1533-position model. The record is from RNAcentral. Lineage: Bacteria; Pseudomonadati; Pseudomonadota; Gammaproteobacteria; Moraxellales; Moraxellaceae.
GAAGGUAGCUUGCUACUGGACCUAGCGGCGGACGGGUGAGUAAUGCUUAGGAAUCUGCCUAUUAGUGGGGGACAACAUCUCGAAAGGGAUGCUAAUACCGCAUACGUCCUACGGGAGAAAGCAGGGGAUCUUCGGACCUUGCGCUAAUAGAUGAGCCUAAGUCGGAUUAGCUAGUUGGUGGGGUAAAGGCCUACCAAGGCGACGAUCUGUAGCGGGUCUGAGAGGAUGAUCCGCCACACUGGGACUGAGACACGGCCCAGACUCCUACGGAGGCCAGCAGUAAA